CUACGGGUUGCACCAGCUGAGGAAAUUUUACAAUGCUCGCAAGAGUGAUAAAAUAAACCAGAGUGUUUUUCUAUGAAAAACUUUUGUCUGAUGUAAAAAGUCAGACGAAUAAGGACUGGGCAAGACCGGUGCCAGCCGCCGCGGUAAUACCGGCGGUCCGAGUCGCAUCCACAUUUAUUGGGUCUAAAACAUUCGUAGCUUGUUUUGUAAGUUUCUUGUGAAAUCUCAUGUCUCAAGCAUGAGGCGUGCAAGAAAUACUGCACUACUAGAGACCGGAAGACGUAAGGAGUAUGAUUAAGGUAGUGGUAAAAUACGUUAAUCUUAAUCAGACUAACAAUGGCGAAGGCACCUUACGAGUACGGAUCUGACAGUGAGGGAUGAAGGCUAGGGGCGCGAAAGGGAUUAGAUACCCCCGUAGUC
Molecule: ribosomal RNA, 420 nt
Filed under: uncultured archaeon
Lineage: Archaea
Description: partial 16S ribosomal RNA
Rfam family: Archaeal small subunit ribosomal RNA
Source: RNAcentral